UACGGAGGGUGCAAGCGUUAUCCGGAUUCAUUGGGUUUAAAGGGAGCGUAGGUGGCCUUAUAAGUCAGUGGUGAAAUCUCGAGGCUUAACCUCGAAAUUGCCAUUGAUACUGUAGGGCUUGAGUAUAGUUGCCGUUGGCGGAAUAUGACAUGUAGUGGUGAAAUACAUAGAGAUGUCAUAGAACACCGAUUGCGAAGGCAGCUAACGAAACUAUAACUGACACUGAGGCUCGAAAGUGCGGGGAUCAAACAGG
This 253-nucleotide ribosomal RNA is filed under the name uncultured bacterium. RNAcentral's name for it is "partial 16S ribosomal RNA". It matches the Rfam family "Bacterial small subunit ribosomal RNA", at positions 524 to 776 of the family's 1533-position model. The record is from RNAcentral.